UGAAAAAUGCCUGAGUUGGAGUUAGCUAAAUGGAGGUGUGGUUGAGUGAGAGGGGCCAUGAUUAGCAAAAGAAAGAGCUUGAGCCAAGAGGUGAAAGCAAGAAAGUGUAUCCUGAAGGACAUAGAAGGGACAAGAGGCAGGAAGGCUUUCUCUGGUAUCCUAAAGAGUUUGGGCUUGACCCUGGAUGGAGAACUGCUAGGAGAAUUUGGGUAAGGCAAAGACACAACUAUUACAUUUUAGAAAAAAAUGAUACCACUGGCAAUACAGAAAAUGUAUCAAAGUUGAAGCCACUGGGUACAUCAUGGUUCAAGUCGCUGAGAAUGAGAACUGAUAGAGACCUAAGGGGGUGGCAAGUAGAGGGGAAUUCAUGAUGAACUCAGUUUGGAAUAUGUUGAAUUCACAUAUUCAGAGAAAUGUUUAGGGUAGUGGGGAAGACAAGAUUUGGGCAUAAGAGAGAGAAGAAAAAUUUGAGAGGUUGAGAUUGUGCAGUGCUUUAUCAUAGCAUGUAUGAUCUCUUGACACAUUCUUUAUUUCAUGUCUUCCCUGACUAGAAAUAAACUUCACGAGGGUGAGAACUUUGCUUUAUUUCCACCAUCUAGAACUGUGCCUGAACCACAGGGAGCACUCAGGAAAAAUUUACUGAAAAGAUGAAUUAUUCAGAAUUGUAGUUGAAAAGGUGUCUUCAGAGGAGUUUACUUACAUGCAGUGGACAUGAAAUAGGGCAUAGAGUGAAACCGUAGGCAAAACAUUGGGUGGAUAAUGUCAUUUGAUGCCAAAAAAGAAGCACUGAGGAAUUAGGAAAAACAAGAGAUAAUGAGGUCCCAGGUGACAAUGGAAGCAGUUGUGGAAAACUGCUUUAAAUGUCAUAGAGCACUCAGAAGGAAUUCAUAAAUGACCUCAUAAAGAAGUCCACUGUGGUUUCCCUGCAGAGGUGGGAAUAGAAUCAGAGUGCUAAGGAUUGAGGGAUUAAGAGGAGGUGAUUGUAUUAUUCCUCUUUUCAGAUAAUGGAGAGAGAGAAGAGAACAGCAGUAGCCGUUGCCAGAAAUAUUGAGCAAGGCGGAUUUAUUAGAUGAAGAUAUCAAAAUACUUUCCAUUGAGGAAACAGGUUGGAGGUGGGAGGCUGUAACCAUGCUUGAUUUUGUACCACCCUAACCUUUGCUUGUAAGUAUACUUUUUGAAAACCCAUUUUAUUGAACUGAAAUGUAUUUUGUUCUGAAGGGUUGAAAAAGGCUAAAGAAGUGGGAAGGAAUUUUUGUUAAACCUUAUACAAUAAGGGAAAAUUUUCCAGCAACAUGGAAAGACAUCAGAAUUGAAAUCCUAGUGAACUACUAACUAUGUGAAAUGGACAAGUGGCUUAUUAUUCCAAUUUUACAGAAAAGAAAAAUGAGACAUAAAUGUUAACAUCUAUGUGUAUGAUGAUUACGUGAGAUAAAUUUGGGUCUCUAUUUUGAGUGUUUUGUGGGCAGGAAUGGAUUAGGACUUUCUAAAAUAUUAAAUGGGCCAAUCUAAAUAUGUGAUCAAAAUUUUUCAGAGGUAUAUUUUGUGGUAUUUACAGCAAGAUGAGAAUGUAUUUUAAAUUGAUCUUUGAUCAUAUUUUUAUCUUUUAAACAUGUUCUGCCUCAUUUUCUCUGUAAUAAUAACUAUAAUUAUAUCCAUUCCUCAUUAUAAAGCUGCUCUUUUUUCUUUUCUGACAUUCUGCCUUCAUCGACUAAUGGUGGUGAGGCUACUACCUCCUGAGGUUACUUAUAAAAUUAAAGCGAUUGGGAAGGAAUGUUACAUGCAGUCCACAUUGUAUGUGAUACCGAGAGGAGACAGGAGGGCAGAGUCCCUGAUGAGAGCUCCACCCUUAAGCCUGGACCCGUGGCCCUGAAUGAGAACAGGCAUUGCUGCUUUCCUGCCCAAAGGCUGCUUUUUCCAAAACCACCGUGGCCCACCAUGUCCCCUAUCCUGUACCUAUAAAAACCCCAAACUCCACUGGCAGAGGAAUAGAGUGGCACAGCAGAGAAGGAAAGAAUAGAAGUGUCUGAAUGUCAAAGAGGGAGCUGGACAGUCAGAGAGGAGUUUGGCUGGGGACAGCUGAGCUCCAGGGGAAGAUCAUCUUCCCACUCCAUCCCCUUUCCAGCCCCCCAACCCACAAAGAGCCACCUCCAUCAUUCAGUAAAACCUCUGCAUUCACCAUCCUUCAAGUCCAUGUGACCUGAUUCUUCUUGUACUCUGGACAAAAAUCCAGGUUCCAAGAGGGCAGGGUAUAUGUCACCCUGAUUCUCCACGGGACUGUUUAACACUUAGCCCUCUGUGGACAGCAACUGCUAAAAGAGCAUUAAUUGUAACACAUGCCCUCUGGGGCUCCAGAGGUUGUGCGCAACUGCUAGAUGCUGCCCCUGGCGCCCAAAGGCACUAGCCCUGGUUCCCAUACCCACUUACCUGCAUGCUCCCACUCCUGCAAGGGGCUUGAGUUCAGCAACAAAGCAAAACAAGCUACCACCAACCCUCCACACCCUCCCUGUGGCAAGACUCGCAAGAGGGUCAGGGAACUCUCCCCCGUCAUAUGCGUUAUUCCAGUUUAGUUACCUACAAAAUAAACUUGCCAGAAUUAGUGUUUACUACAUAAGCUAAGCACCUAUUUCAACAUGUGUGAGCUUCUAAAAAGCAAAUCAAUGCUCUUCUGUCCAAUUUUGGCCAAGGCUUCAUGAUCUCUUUCCUUAAAACAUCAACUUAAAUUUUACCAUUACUUUUCUCUCUUCCUUCCCCUUAUCCUAUUUAACUAUUAUUAGAGACAUUUUAAAAAAAUUCCUUUCCUUUUCCAUGCUUGGUUUCCUCAAUAGCGAUUUUAUAUAGAAAACAUUUGACAUUAUAGUCUAGCUUUUCAUAGUUAAAAUUAAAUAUUUCAUUAAAAAGAGGAGUCUAUUUUUUCAGACUUGUAGGGCUCUGGGAAGUGGACUUAUGAAAAAAAUGACUUUGUAUUUAUUUACAGAUAAAUAACCAUGUGUCUGUAAUUAGUAAGAGAUCCACUGUAUGUAAUUUAUCUUUUUCUUAUGUGUUACCUGUUAAAGAUGACCUUGUGUUUCCCGACAUGCUGUCAAGUGAAAGAUUUUGUAAGAAUCCUUCUAUAUUCCUACAUUAUUUUAUUGCAUUGCUCAUCAAUUUUGCAUUUUCUCCCUCUCUUAUGAUCCUAGCCUUUCCUUUAUUAGAAGUAAUUAUCUAGUUCAUAGAAAAUUGUUUAAUUUGGUUAUUUUCAUUACUUCAAAGAGAAAUUCUAAUGUAGAACGAUUUGUUUAUAUAUCUCUUGCAGACUCAAAAUACACACCACUAUUAUAAAAACCUUCCCUGCCUAGCUCAUAUUUCCCCCGACUCCUACCCCAUGGUUCCCUAGCUUAUUGAAUGUACUCAUAGCAUCUCUUUUAGUCUGUAUUGCUAUCAUGUGUUUUUCUAAUCUGUUCCCCAUAGUAACAGUGAAAUCCUUGAGGGCACGAGUCUUAUCUUUUUCAACUCUAUUUUCAGCACCUCGCAUUGUGAGUUGGUGUAAGUAGUUCAGUAAAUAACUGUAGAUGUCAAAAUAAAUAAAUGUCAGCUAAUUUUUAUGUAUAUUCAAAGAUAAAAUUUUAUUUAUUGUCAUAAUUACCUUUACCCAAUCUAUUUUUUAUUGUUUGUUUCAAAUUACACCAAUAAAAAUGUGACAAUAACCAUGCUCAUCCUUAGACUAACACCAAUGUUUAGAAGCAGUUUCACCAUAUAGUUCCAUUUUUAAAAAAUUCUAAAUAUUUGCUAUAUUCUUUAAUUGAGUCUUCCCAAAGCAAUCUUUGAACUAAUUGUUGGUUUCUCAGAUUUCUAUUUUGUUAUCUUUAAGACACUCUUUAAAUCUCAUCAAAAAUCUUCAUGGAAAUUAAUUACAUUGUACCCAAACGUUAUAAAAUCUUACCAUUUAAAGAUACUUUAGAGUUCAUUUGAACUAUUCUUCAAAGAAUUAGCAAUGAAGUUCUUUUGGAUUGAUUGAUAUUCAUGUACCCAAGAAAGAUAGGUAGAAUAUUAAUUCAUUUUAUUAUUUCCAAAGAGAAGGUGUGAAAAUAAACUAGAACACAGUUGAGUUGGCAGAACUGAGUUUGUGUUUACAAAACUGAAAAGGCUGGACCACAAUGUGGUUUACUGGUGAUAUAUUAAUUUAGAUAACAAUUAAAUCUCGGAGACUUACCAUAUUGAAAGUUUAUUUUUUGGUUUACACAAAUCUGAUAUACUGGAUAGGGGCUUUUCUCCUUUCAUUUACUCAAGGAUCCAGGUUCCAGUCCAAUAUGCACCAUUCAGCCUGGUUGCAGCAUGUUAAGCAGCCCUGGAGGCAGCAGAUGAGGGAUCCUAUGAAGCAACUUUCAGACAUUCAGAACCAAGACAAAAAAAAAGAGAAUUAAAGUAAAAUAUGAUGUACCCAGGAGUUACAUCAGUGAACCAAAUACAGCCUCAAAUUUCGAUCUGUGCUUCACAGCAGCCAGCAAAAAGAACAAAACAUAUUUUGUUAGUUCAUAUAAAUAAAUAAAUUAAAAAUGCAUGAAUAAAUAAAUAAAGCAAACCAGUUUCUCGAUUCUGAAAUAUUUUCUGGAAGUGAGAACUGAAAGGAAUUUCCACCAUGGACCCACAAGCAGUUGUUGGUGGCAUAUAUAAUGAGUGCUGGGUGUUAAGGAAGCAAUGGUGAAGGAGAGACACCCUCCCGACCCUCAUGGUGCUUGCAGCCUAGUGGAGCUAUGAAAAGAUAGGCAAGUGAGUCCUAUGAUUGGAGAAGUAAUGAGAAGUAAUGAGAAGCGUCUUCUAAGCAUAGGGGUAAAGACUGCAAAGACCCUGAAGGGAGAAAGUAAUGGCCAUUCUGAGAACUGAAAGUUUGCACAGUGCACAGAGGGCAUGAAGAACGAAGGAAAGAGAUUUUUUUUUUUUUUUUUUUGCCCAAGAUGGCAAGUUGCUUAAAACCUAAAGCUCCUUUCAAUUCUUUACAAUCCAAGAUUAUAUGGAAUGGACUGGGAACAAAGAGAGGGACUGGCAUUUAAAGUCUUUUAUACACUUUGGAACAAAUGUUAUUCUCCAUUCAUCCUGACACUAAAUUGGUUAGCCAAACCCAAAGAUCUACUAAUAAUCCUGCUUUGGCAUGGGAGAAUGAGUGAGAUAAGGAGGCAAUAGAGGAGAUGAAUCGACAAAUGGAAGGAAUAGAAUUCUGGUUGAUGUCCUUGUCUCUAAGCUGUAGCAGCAAGUAUUUAUCCUAAUCAUGUGGUGUUAGCACGGAGAUGAGAAAGAGAGAAAGACAACAUCAUGCUUUGCUGUCUGUGUGUGAACUGAGUAACAGCUGUGAAGGAUCAGUCACCAAAAGACUUUGAAAGAAGAGGCUUGAUUGGUCACGGUAAUGAUGCUCCCCUGGCCAUGGAAGUUUAAUUGGGAGAAAAGAACAUCUGCUUAUACGAAAACAUAUUAUAUUCAGCCAUCCCUGCCCUGACUUUGGCCUUUAAAAACAGUGGCAUUAAUUAUCUCAACAAAUGAAUCUUCGGGAUAAAAAUAAUCUAAAUAUUAUUUUACGCUUACUACAUAUUUGCAACGUGCUAAGCUCUUUAUGGUUGCUACCACAAAAAACAUUUAUAAUAUGAGACUUCACAAGGUUAGGAACAGGCUUCACUUCAUUGUGAUGUGUGUAAGGUGACAGAGGACAUAUAACGAAUACGUGGAAGAACUAGGAAUUUGACCUUAGCUUCCAGACAUUUUGAGGAGGAUACACUAUGUCCAUCUUGCUUUCCUAUCAAGAAAAGUAUACCCAGUUUGUGCAGUAGCCCUGUACCAACAGAUACAUUACAGCAGGUUGUUUCCGUAUUUUGGCUAUUGUGAAUAGUGCUGCAAUAAACAUGGAAGUGCUGAUAUAUCUUUGAGAUCUUGACUUCAAACAAAAGAAGAAAAUCUUGCAAUAUAUGACAACACGGAUUAACCUGGAGGACAUUGUGCUUAGUGAAGUUAGCCAGUCACAGACUGACAAGUACUGCACGAUUCCACUUAUGAAGACUACAGUUCCUAUCUUCACAGGUGGCUGUUAGCUCUAAAUGAACUCAUUUAUUUUGAAAGCAUGAUUUAAAGUAUAGUUUUAAACUAUAAGCAUUUCAGAAGUGAUGACCCAUGACUCAAAUCUCAAAAAUAAAUGCUACAGUUCACAGUUGGAAUAUGGACACAAGAAAAAUAAUAGGUGAGUAAAAAAAGAAUUUUUACCACAGAACAAAAGUUUAUUAAACACAAUUAUGAAUGAAUAUUAAUGUCAACAGAGUGCUUUUUAGAUGCCUCCUAAGCUUUGUAUGCACCUAAAAGAGAUACAAGUCAGCUCAGCUGCUAAGGAAUAGGCAGACCAGAAUGCAGUCAGAGAAAUAAACAGUUGAACAGAUAAUUCCAAAAGGAUGUGAUAAGUGUUAUGGGGGGAAUUCGGAGAAAGUGCCGAGGCAUCACACAGGAGAGACCAGCUGUCCCUGGCAUAGCUGGUGGAGAUCUUAUUAAACAACGAUACUAAGGCUGACUCUUGACUAUGAAACGAAUUUCACAGAGAAACAAGCAAAAAAGCAAUAGAAAUAUUAAUUUGUGUACCCUAUUUCAUGACAAUUAUAUACAAAAACAGAACGUUCAAAGCCUUAGGCAAUAAAACUGAUAUUUCUUGCAACAGGCUUUGGCCAAAAAAGAGUGCAGUUCUGUGAUGAAUAUCAGCUUCAUCAACAUGCCCCAGGCACCGUGAUGUCCCUCCUCUGCUCUGCUGCAUAACAGGGUGGAGACCAAAUCCAACAGUAUGAACAAGCAUCCAUCAAAACCACAGUUCUAUUAUUGAGACCAUUUCUGAUUGAAUUUCCUCAGCAGACUAUCCAAGUCGUCAUGUUCAUCAAGGUAUUCAAUUUAAAUGACCAUUAAAACGAAAUUAAGUUGGUAUUAACCUUGUCUUUUCAGAUGAUGCCACUGAAAGGUAAACAUACCAUUCUGACAUGCAUGAAAAUGAAACGACAAAUUGAUACACGCAGUGCUUGGAAUGGAUGGAGUCCUUCUAAUGAGUGAUUACCUGUGGUAUAACUAUAUUGAUUGUGUUUGUACAUGUCAAAUGGGGCUGGCGAGGAUGAACUUGAAGAAAUCAAUCUUGGAACCUGCUAGGACAGCAGCCUCCUGGUUUCACAGUACUAAAUCAUGACUUCAAAAUUUUGAAGUAAAAGAAAACUGCAAAACUUUGUAAAGGUACCAGUCUCUUCCUGACACUAUUUGCCUUGGCAAAAGAUUCACUGUCAACUUAAAAGACUAACAUGUGCUCAGAUGAUGAUUUGUGGAGGACAGAUAAUUAUGAGUACAUUUAGAAAUACACACUCUUCCAAACCCUGCUCUUUCCAUAUAAUGAAGUUAUUUAUUUCUAUUUUUUAUUUAUUUUUCUAAUAAUUACAAACAUACUUUGGAGACCCACAUUCCUGUAUUAUUCUUUCAACAUACUGAAGAAGAGUUAUUUCUAUGCUUCUUUCUAUGUGUUGGGCUUAAGAUUUAUUAGAAGGAAUGUGUAAAAACAAAGGCAGCAAAGUUUCUAUUUUUAUUGGGAGUCACUCCCGGAGUAAGUGGGGAUAGUUGUGCACACACACACACACACAUUCAUGCACAAAGAAAGAGUGAUCAAGUGUAUAACACACUUUUAGCAGUGUUUUGCUGGAAGAAUAAAGUAUAACUCCUUGUCCGCCCUUUUAUUAUACUGGGGUUCACACUAAGAGAGUCUGAGGACCUGUGGAACUCCCAUUUGCAUGAAAUAACUUUUGCAUCUAUUCUGGAGGAAAACUUCCUAAGGCAGAUUUGGACAGAAAAUUGCUAUCAGCGCAAAUAAAACAAUGCAAAGCCUACUCCGGGGAACGUUGCUCUGCCACCACUACUGAAAUGGGUCAUCCCCUUGGUUUCUGAAUAAAGAAUUAUGAAACCUGGGGCUAGAAUGCUCAGGGAGGAAUUUACCAAUCCAAAUCUUCCCCUUAUGGUAGAGAACAAACUUUCAAGGUUUGUUCUCCACUGUAAGUGUGCGAGGGCUGUUAGGGACCGUAAUAUGGCUGCCGGAGACUGGUGUGUGUACCUCCUUGACUGUACGUCUCAUUUCCAGUUAUGAUUUUACAAUCAUCUCUUUCUCAACCUUUGCUUUUAAAUAUAGGAAGGUACGGCUCACCAUGGAGCGGACAUUUUCUUCAGGAGCGGUACGGUGUCUAAGAUAUGCAGAGGUUGUAUUCUAGUCCUAUAACUCAAUUCUCAAACACAUGGCUUUUAGCCAGGGAUAUCCUAAAGGAAAAUUACACUAUAUGCAACCCCUCCUUACUCCUCAAAUAUUAUCUAUAUUAAACACAGCUGAAAUUUGAGAGUGUCCUUACAGGUGAAAAUUUAACAAUUUAACAAAAGGACACUGCUGAAUGUGUGGGGACAAAGGAAGGAUGAAUCUUUCAUCAUGACAAAAGACUACUUGCCACAUUCUCCCUUAACUUAGAAAAACAGAAAAGAGGCUGGGCGUGGUGGCUCCUGCCUGUAACCUCAGCACUUUGGGAG
Molecule: long non-coding RNA, 8541 nt
Filed under: Homo sapiens (human)
Lineage: Eukaryota; Metazoa; Chordata; Mammalia; Primates; Hominidae
Description: HSALNT0333221
Source: RNAcentral